ACGAACGCUGGCGGCGUGCUUAACCCAUGCAAGUCGCACGGAAAGGCCUCUUUCGGGGGGUACUCGAGUGGCGAACGGGUGAGUAACACGUGAGUAACCUGCCCUUGACUUUGGGAUAACUUCAGGAAACUGGGGCUAAUACCGGAUAGGAGCUCCUGCUGCAUGGUGGGGGUUGGAAAGUUUCGGCGGUUGGGGAUGGACUCGCGGCUUAUCAGCUUGUUGGUGGGGUAGUGGCUUACCAAGGCUUUGACGGGUAGCCGGCCUGAGAGGGUGACCGGCCACAUUGGGACUGAGAUACGGCCCAGACUCCUACGGGAGGCAGCAGUGGGGAAUAUUGCACAAUGGGUGGAAGCCUGAUGCAGCAACGCCGUGUGCGGGAUGACGGCCUUCGGGUUGUAAACCGCUUUCGCUCAUGACGAAGCUUUGUGUGACGGUAGUGGGUAAAGAAGCACCGGCUAACUACGUG
RNAcentral lists this ribosomal RNA (466 nucleotides) under uncultured bacterium. Its description in RNAcentral is "partial 16S ribosomal RNA". It matches the Rfam family "Bacterial small subunit ribosomal RNA", at positions 29 to 507 of the family's 1533-position model. The record is from RNAcentral.